RNAcentral lists this ribosomal RNA (1071 nucleotides) under Cercospora brassicicola. RNAcentral describes it as "partial large subunit ribosomal RNA". It matches the Rfam family "Eukaryotic large subunit ribosomal RNA", at positions 55 to 1157 of the family's 3401-position model. Lineage: Eukaryota; Fungi; Ascomycota; Dothideomycetes; Mycosphaerellales; Mycosphaerellaceae. The record is from RNAcentral.
GGACUUGAAAGGAUCACAGGUAUUGCCCUAGUAACGGCGAGUGAAGCGGCAACAGCUCAAAUUUGAAAUCUGGCGCAAGCCCGAGUUGUAAUUUGUAGAGGAUGCUUCUGGGUAGCGACCGAUCUAAGUUCCUUGGAACAGGACGUCAUAGAGGGUGAGAAUCCCGUAUGUGACCGGCCCGCACCCUUUACGUAGCUCCUUCGACGAGUCGAGUUGUUUGGGAAUGCAGCUCUAAAUGGGAGGUAAAUUUCUUCUAAAGCUAAAUACCGGCCAGAGACCGAUAGCGCACAAGUAGAGUGAUCGAAAGAUGAAAAGUACUUUGGAAAGAGAGUUAAAAAGCACGUGAAAUUGUUGAAAGGGAAGCGCCUGCAACCAGACUUCGCGGCAGUGUUCCGCCGGUCUUCUGACCGGUUCAUUCUCUGUCGCGAGGCCAUCAUCGUCUGGGCCCGCCGGAUAAGACCUGAGGAAUGUGGCUCCCCCUCGGGGGAGUGUUAUAGCCUCUGGUGAUGCGGCGUGGCUCGGGCGAGGUCCGCGCUUCGGCAAGGAUGAUGGCGUAAUGGUUGUCGGCGGCCCGUCUUGAAACACGGACCAAGGAGUCUAACAUCUAUGCGAGUGUUCGGGUGUCAAACCCCUACGCGUAAUGAAAGUGAACGGAGGUGGGAACCGCAAGGUGCACCAUCGACCGAUCCUGAUGUCCUCGGAUGGAUUUGAGUAAGAGCAUAGCUGUUGGGACCCGAAAGAUGGUGAACUAUGCCUGAAUAGGGUGAAGCCAGAGGAAACUCUGGUGGAGGCUCGCAGCGGUUCUGACGUGCAAAUCGAUCGUCAAAUUUGGGUAUAGGGGCGAAAGACUAAUCGAACCAUCUAGUAGCUGGUUCCUGCCGAAGUUUCCCUCAGGAUAGCAGUAACGUUUUUCAGUUUAUGAGGUAAAGCGAUGAUUAGAGGCCUUGGGGUUGAAACAACCUUAACCUAUUCUCAAACUUUAAAUAUGUAAGAAGUCCUGUACUAGUGAACGUGACAAUUGGAUUGUACGUUACCUAGUGGGCCAUUUUUGGUAGCAAAAAACUUGGCGGA